This is a long non-coding RNA of Daphnia magna, 486 nucleotides long. RefSeq lists it as uncharacterized. The transcript has 3 exons. NCBI's taxonomy places the organism in Eukaryota, Metazoa, Arthropoda, Branchiopoda, Diplostraca, Daphniidae. The record is from RefSeq and is a predicted model, not a curated record.
CAUCGCAAACCAAUCAGAGGGCCAGAAAUCGUCACGUUACCGUUGCCUGUCAAAACUGUUUUUGACGUCAAAAACAGUCGUAAACUUUAUCGUCCGCCGCUAGAUGUCGUCAGGGUCAGCGCAAAAAAAAACUCCAUAUUGGGACAUUUCUUUUUGCCCAACCCCCCACCCCCACACACACACACAAACAGAGGAUGAAAUAAACCAAAUAUGAUUGGAUGUUUGCAUUCCAAAACAAAACAAAAAAGUCCCUACAGGUGGAGUCAAACCAUUGGUGAUAUUGAUGUUUUCAUUCCAGUCACAAAGGACAUACAAAAAGCUAAACAAGUAAAUGUGAAAAUUGACCCUCUCCAUCUCUGGGUUGCAACUGUUGGACAUGAUGGAAGCUUUGUUUUGAUAGACCAUGAAAACAUCUAUUUUUAAAUAAAUGAUUAAACAAAAUAGGACCCAAUAUCGUGGGUGAGUCUUACGGUAAAUUUGAUAACA